UAUCCCGUAAUAAUGCCAAACCUUCAGUGGUAAACGUAUUAUUCUCGACUGAAGGGCUGAAGCUGACAAACUUCUGUUCUUAGAACCUACCAGUGAGGGGAGGGUUUGAUCUCUACAGAUACGGUUUCUGCCAGUGGUGCUGUGAUGGUGACUUUGGUUCAGCCAAAUUUAUGGACAUUUAUUUCUGGGACGCCGGAGUUCUGUCCGUGGUUUAUCAAUGGGUUCCGUUUAUUUCGGAUCCC
Molecule: long non-coding RNA, 242 nt
Filed under: Lathyrus oleraceus (garden pea)
Lineage: Eukaryota; Viridiplantae; Streptophyta; Magnoliopsida; Fabales; Fabaceae
Description: Pisum sativum (pea) long non-coding RNA (PSAT_LNC019954)
Source: RNAcentral